CCUACGGGUGGCAGCAGUGAGGAAUAUUGGUCAAUGGACGCAAGUCUGAACCAGCCAUGCCGCGUGCAGGAAGACGGCUCUAUGUGUUGUAAACUGCUUUUGUACGAGGGUAAACGCAGAUACGCGUAUCUGUCUGCAAGUAUCGUACGAAUAAGGAUCGGCUAACUCCGUGCCAGCAGCCGCGGUAAUACGGAGGAUUCAAGCGUUAUCCGGAUUUAUUGGGUUGAAAGGGUGCGUAGGCGGUCGGAUAAGUUAGAGGUGAAAUCCCGAGGCUCAACUUCGGAAUUGCCUCUGAUACUGUUCGGCUAGAGAGUAGUUGCGGUAGGCGGAAUGUAUGGUGUAGCGGUGAAAUGCUUAGAGAUCAUACAGAACACCGAUUGCGAAGGCAGCUUACCAAGCUACUUCUGACGUUGAGGCACGAAAGCGUGGGGAGCAAACAGGAUUAGAUACCCGUGUAGUC
This 460-nucleotide ribosomal RNA is filed under the name uncultured bacterium. RNAcentral's name for it is "partial 16S ribosomal RNA". It matches the Rfam family "Bacterial small subunit ribosomal RNA", at positions 338 to 795 of the family's 1533-position model. The record is from RNAcentral.